RNAcentral lists this ribosomal RNA (328 nucleotides) under uncultured bacterium. RNAcentral describes it as "bacterial SSU rRNA". It matches the Rfam family "Bacterial small subunit ribosomal RNA", at positions 28 to 335 of the family's 1533-position model. The record is from RNAcentral.
GACGAACGCUGGCGGCGUGCCUAAUACAUGCAAGUUGAACGCAACAAAGACACCAGAGCUUGCUCUACCGUUUUUGUUGAGUAGCGAACGGAUGAGUAACGCGUGGGUAACCUGCCCUUAUAGCGGGGGAUAACUAUUGGAAACGAUAGCUAAUACCGCAUAACAAUAGAGAUUGCAUAAAUCUUUAUUUGAAAGUGCCAACUGGUACACUAUGAGAUGGACCCGCGUUGUAUUAGCUAGUUGGUAGUGUAAUGGACUACCAAGGCGAUGAUACAUAGCUGACCUGAGAGGGUGAAUCGGCCACAUUGGGACUGAGACACGGCCCAAA